Molecule: transfer RNA, 72 nt
Filed under: Minisyncoccota bacterium
Lineage: Bacteria; Bacillati; Minisyncoccota
Description: tRNA-Thr
Rfam family: tRNA
About the family: Transfer RNA (tRNA) molecules are approximately 80 nucleotides in length.
Source: RNAcentral
GCCACCUUAGCUCAGCGGUAGAGCAACUGUUUUGUAAACAGUAGGUCCCCGGUCCGAAUCCGGGAGGUGGCU